GACGAACGCUGGCGGCGUGCUUAACACAUGCAAGUCGAACGAUGAAGCUAGAGCUUGCUCUGGUGAAUUAGUGGCGAACGGGUGAGUAACACGUGAGUAACCUGCCCCGAACUCUGGGAUAACUGCUGGAAACGGUAGCUAAUACUGGAUACGACCUACGAAGGCAUCUUCUGUAGGUGGAAAGAAUUUCGGUUCGGGAUGGACUCGCGGCCUAUCAGCUUGUUGGUGAGGUAAUGGCUCACCAAGGCGACGACGGGUAGCCGGCCUGAGAGGGUGACCGGCCACACUGGGACUGAGACACGGCCCAGACUCCUCCGGGAGGCAGCAGUGGGGAAUAUUGCGCAAUGGGCGAAAGCCUGACGCAGCAACGCCGCGUGCGGGAUGAAGGCCUUCGGGUUGUAAACCGCUUUCAGCAGGGAAGAAGCGAAAGUGACGGUACCUGCAGAAGAAGCACCGGCUAACUACGUGCCAGCAGCCGCGGUAA
This 484-nucleotide ribosomal RNA is filed under the name uncultured bacterium. RNAcentral describes it as "partial 16S ribosomal RNA". It matches the Rfam family "Bacterial small subunit ribosomal RNA", at positions 28 to 523 of the family's 1533-position model. The record is from RNAcentral.